This 497-nucleotide ribosomal RNA is filed under the name uncultured bacterium. RNAcentral's name for it is "partial 16S ribosomal RNA". It matches the Rfam family "Bacterial small subunit ribosomal RNA", at positions 28 to 507 of the family's 1533-position model. The record is from RNAcentral.
GACGAACGCUGGCGGCGUGCCUAACACAUGCAAGUCGAGCGGAAGGACGCGGCGUUUGUGUGGUGGUCGUGAGCGGCGGAGGGGUGUGAAACGCGUGUAACACCCACUUAUAUUUCUGGUAUCUCUUCGAGAAACGGGCGCUAACACCGGAGAAUCUUCUGCUGCGUGUGGUGCGUUGGUGAGUGUCGGUGUUGGUGGAUGGUAUAGCUGCUUCCGAGCUGGAUUAGGUAGUUGUGAAGGUAACGGCGUACCACGGCAACGAUGCAUAGCCGACCUGAGAGGGUGAUCGGCCACACUGGAACUGAGACACGGUCCAGACUCCUACGGGAGGCAGCAGUAGGGAAUCUUCCGCAAUGGGCGAAAGCCUGACGGAGCAACGCCGCGUGAGUGAUGAAGGUCUUCGGAUCGUAAAACUCUGUUAUUAGGGAAGAACAUAUGUGUAAGUAACUGUGCACAUCUUGACGGUACCUAAUCAGAAAGCCACGGCUAACUACGUG